RNAcentral lists this ribosomal RNA (492 nucleotides) under uncultured bacterium. RNAcentral describes it as "partial 16S ribosomal RNA". It matches the Rfam family "Bacterial small subunit ribosomal RNA", at positions 29 to 507 of the family's 1533-position model. The record is from RNAcentral.
AGUGAACGCUGGCGGUAGGCCUAACACGUGCAAGUCGAACGGCAGCACAGUAAGAGCUUGCUCUUACGGGUGGCGAGUGGCGGACGGGUGAGGAAUACAUCGGAAUCUACUUUUUCGUGGGGGAUAACGUAGGGAAACUUACGCUAAUACCGCAUACGACCUACGGGUGAAAGCAGGGGAUCUUCGGACCUUGCGCGAUUGAAUGAGCCGAUGUCGGAUUAGCUAGUUGGCGGGGUAAAGGCCCACCAAGGCGACGAUCCGUAGCUGGUCUGAGAGGAUGAUCAGCCACACUGGAACUGAGACACGGUCCAGACUCCUACGGGAGGCAGCAGUGGGGAAUAUUGGACAAUGGGCGCAAGCCUGAUCCAGCCAUACCGCGUGGGUGAAGAAGGCCUUCGGGUUGUAAAGCCCUUUUGUUGGGAAAGAAAAGCAGCAGGUUAAUACCCCGCUGUUCUGGCGGUACCCAAAGAAUAAGCACCGGCUAACUUCGUG